GAUGAACGCUGGCGGCGUGCCUAAUACAUGCAAGUCGAGCGAACGGACGAGAAGCUUGCUUCUCUGAUGUUAGCGGCGGACGGGUUAGUAACACGUGGAUAACCUACCUAUAAGACUGGGAUAACUUCGGGAAACCGUAGCUAAUACCGGAUAAUAUUUUGAACCGCAUGGUUCAAAAGUGAAAGACGGUCUUGCUGUCACUUAUAGAUGGAUCCGCGCUGCAUUAGCUAGUUGGUAAGGUAACGGCUUACCAAGGCAACGAUGCAUAGCCGACCUGAGAGGGUGAUCGGCCACACUGGAAAUGAGACACGGUCCAGACUCCUACGGGAGGCAGCAGUAGGGAAUCUUCCGCAAUGGGCGAAAGCCUGACGGAGCAACGCCGCGUGAGUGAUGAAGGUCUUCGGAUCGUAAAACUCUGUUAUUAGGGAAGAACAUAUGUGUAAGUAACUGUGCACAUCUUGACGGUACCUAAUCAGAAAGCCACGGCUAACUAAGUG
RNAcentral lists this ribosomal RNA (497 nucleotides) under uncultured bacterium. RNAcentral describes it as "partial 16S ribosomal RNA". It matches the Rfam family "Bacterial small subunit ribosomal RNA", at positions 28 to 507 of the family's 1533-position model. The record is from RNAcentral.